AAUUGAUUAACAGGUCCUUUUCCAGAAAUGGUAGUGGUAAUUUGAUUACUGUGUUCAGAGCCAGAGUUGGAAAGGAAUGUGAGGAAUGUCCAUGGAUGGAUGGCAUAGAGAUAGCCAGAAAGUGAGGUUGGGCAGACCUAGUACCAGGCAAGCUAGGGUGAAUGGUCACCAAUCAGAGUCUUAGGGUCCCCAGGGUGGGAAAUUGAGUGCCAUCAUGGGGAGAAGUCUGGAGUAGCAGGCAGCAUGGCAUGGAGAAUUGCAUGAAGUACAUUUUUCUUCUUUUUUGUCUUUUUUCUUUUAGGGCAUUGACACAAGAUUUUUAAAGGCAUAGAUAUUUUUGCAACUAAAAGUAUACUAUGUCUUGGCCCUUGUCCCUGUGCUGGAUGAAAUUCAGAUGAGGAUGGCAUCUAACCUGUGGGUCAGAGGUUUGUCAAAGCCUUGCUCUAAGAAGACUCACCUUUUUUAGGCUGCUACUAUAUAUGCGUGCCCAUGUAAUGGCAUCCUGUUCUCAAGGAGGUGGAGCAACCGACUUCUCCUUGAAUAACUGGGAGAUGACACAGGAAGCUACAUGUCACAGUUGAUCGAAAAUGACAUAGACACUGAAAAUCAGGACUUUCAGCCCAACUCUGAGCUCCCUCUUGAAUGCUGAUCAGGAGAAAUGCAAAUGGAAAAAAAAAAAAGAAAAAUGCAAAAAAGUUUGUCUCUGGGAUUGGGGCUAAUGAACUUAUGCUGUGAAGUAUAGGUUUUGAAUUGUUUCAGAGUUACUUAUGAUAUUAGCAUGAUAUCUUAGGCAGAGACUCUUCUGGUUGGAUUCAUUCAUCUGCCCAAAGCUAUUUAUCUUUGUCUUAAUUCUCUCUUCCAUGAUCAAAAGCAAAACUAAAGAAAAUGUCAGUCAUUUGUUUAUUCACUAUUUUUAGCACCAAGUUAACUGGAAAGACGGUGUAUUUCUUUCAAACCUCGUAAACCAUGUGGUAACCUCACAGAAGAUUAACCAGGACGACUAAAUUCUCUCAUUCUGCAGCUUUUGUUCUGGUUAUUUUUUUCUCAUAUACUUCACUAGAAAACAAGUAUUUAUAUCAUUGUACUCUGUCAUUUAAAAAAGGCAAUAAAAGGCCCUUUCUGACCCA
RNAcentral lists this long non-coding RNA (1127 nucleotides) under Phascolarctos cinereus (koala). Its description in RNAcentral is "lncRNA (ENSPCIG00000014387.2)". The record is from RNAcentral. Lineage: Eukaryota; Metazoa; Chordata; Mammalia; Diprotodontia; Phascolarctidae.